Molecule: long non-coding RNA, 1357 nt
Organism: Cyprinus carpio carpio
Lineage: Eukaryota; Metazoa; Chordata; Actinopteri; Cypriniformes; Cyprinidae
Source: Ensembl
AUGCCCCUCACUGAGACUCCCCAAGGGGUAAUUGUGAAGGUUCAAGGGUGUACGUUUAACAUCGGUUCUCCAAGAGCUGAAAAAUGCAGCAUACAGAGUCUAGGCCAGUGGGAAGCCAUGCUCUUGAGGGAGAUGCAUCUAGAACCACAACUUCCUACAGACCCUCAAAUCUGCAGUUGUGCAUAUUAUGAGUAUUUUAAGCUUCCAAUGGGGGAGAGAUCAUAGCGUGCUUCCAUAUUAAUUGCCCUUUGGAAUGGCUCAAUUAUGCUAUUAAUGGGCCCGGGUGUGAGAACUAAUGGCUGGAGACUUUUUUUGCAUAGCAUUAGCUUAAUUGAGCUGCAGAUAGAGGCCUAGUGUGACUAGCAGGUCAAGCUAAUGUUACCACUGGUCCAGCAGAAGACCUUUAACUGACAGCUAUAUUAAUUAACAACUAUCCAGUUACAUAGGCUUUAAAAGAGAUGAAUUAGUAACAUGUUUGGUGGAGCAGCAUAUUGGUCUUCAGCUGAAAAAUAAAAAUAAGGUUUAGGUUUGUAACACUGGGUGGAAAGUCUUUCUAUACUGUUAAGUUAUCAAAAUAUGCUGAAACAAUUUGCAAAAUAUAAUUUUGGUGGGUUCUUACAAUACUGUGUUUGGUUGAUGAUGGAUUUAAUGUGUUUUAAUUGCACUAACAGGAAUAGUUUGUAUAAUCUGUGGAUGUCAGUACACCUAUUAAAUUAAUCUAAAUGACCAAGUUUCUGUUUUUGGAAUAAGUCGGUAUUUUACAGUAGAAAAGUCCUCCUACUUAUGGAAAGUCCAGCUGCAUCAGAAAGUAGGCUGAGCGAAGCAGGUCAGGCAGGAAGUUCUUUUGUUAUGUAAAGAGCUGCUAUUUGAUCCUCACAGAAAAAAAAGGAAAAGAAAAGGGAGCCGUUCAGAUAAACUUGCCUCAUCAGAUAAUUGAAGAUGCCUUCGCUCCAGUUUCUCUCUUUUGCAUAAAUGUCUGAUCAGUUUUCAGAGGCCGAUAACGGCACGCCUGUCCCUCUGCUCGCUCCUCUGGAGUUCUGCGGGAUCUCUGAAGAGCUCCAGCAUGGUGCCUGAGCUAAGAAAACAUUUGCAGGAUGAUCUUUCUGAUCUUCAUCAUGUAUAGAUAAUAUAUUCCAUUGUGUGUUUUUUGUUCUGUCUUUGGAAAUCUCCAGUCUUGCUCAGCGCUUAUGAUUUUUAAGCGUUUGAUGUAUGUGUGGAAAAUGUAUAUUUGAAUAUUCAUGAUAACAGCUAAAGAAUGUUUAUUAGUAAUUUUUCUCUAUAAGUUCCAUUAGCUUGUCUUUUUGGUGUUCUCUAUUUCUUAUUUAAUCAACAGUAAGUGACUCACUUGGCUGUAAGC